Molecule: unclassified non-coding RNA, 246 nt
Filed under: Hevea brasiliensis (rubber tree)
Lineage: Eukaryota; Viridiplantae; Streptophyta; Magnoliopsida; Malpighiales; Euphorbiaceae
Source: RNAcentral
GAUCGGCAUGCCGGAAAACAUCGCGGCGAGGGUGGCGAUCCCGUAGCUGAUGCCAAUUCCAAGAACGGUCAUGAACGCGGAGCCUUGCCGAGAGAGGUAAUGAUCUGGAGCAGGAUCUGGACGCACAACAGCGUCAUGCCUGCCGCCAUCAGGACGUACGGGAUGGCGAGCGGCGGGCUCCACAAGACCUGACCGUCCACCCACGCUUCAUGGGCCAGCGUCCAUGAUUUCCACGAGAAGAAGGCG